ACUAAUUCCAACCCUAUCUAAAUUUAUAUUUUACUGCACUACAACAACAGAGAAAGGGAAGGUGUAUAUGGGGUCGGUUAAUCACUCCUGGCUUAUAACCAGAGGGAUAGACAUGACCCGAUUGGCAUAAUGAAUAUAAUAUUAUAUGCCAUGGUCCUGGUUACUCCAUGAUGUAUAUAAAUUCCCCCCAUGUAAAGAGACACCACGGUUUUUACUCUAUGCCCCAGGCUACUACAAAUAUAUAUAAUGUCCAGCAGUAUUGAUCCCUUUAAAACAUAACUAUUACUCUUCAAUUUAUAAAAUAAUACAACCGUAGUGGGGAAUGAGAGCGAGUGUGAAUGAGAGGAGGAACAGGACGCUACCAGGACGCAGCUUAAAUGUAAGUCUGGACCAUUUAUUGAGAGUUGAUACCAUCAUAGCAUGUAGUGUGUUUCAUACUACAUUUGAUUUUUUGCUCACAGCUUCCUGGGUGAAGUACUGGCCCGUAUCGUGUGGGCCCUUUAGCCUCCUGAUUGCACAGGAUAUUAAGUGGGACAUAUCAAACGGGUCCCUUGGUCCUAUGCUUAAUAUCAUCUGCGUCUCUGGUCCUGUUGCCUCAACUAUAUUCUAAGUAUCUUUGAUUUAUCAUUUGAUUGAUGGUUGUAUCUCUGACCAUGAAUGCCCCCUGAUGAACCUAGCAAUAGGGGAAACGCGUAGGGACUUUUGUGGAACCAGCCUGGGAACGCACCGUUUUGAUGCCCCUGUGCUUGGUCCCUUAUGUUUAGAGGUGAUAUUUAUCUAAUUCACCUGUACAUUGAACUGGUCUUUAUCUACUAGUGCCCCUGAGAGUAUUCAGUUACCAGGGACACAUUACUACACCCGUCAGCUUCCUGGGGAGCACAUUCUGUUAUUUUUGGAGAGGAGGGUAUACGCAGGGCAGUCAGCCCAGGAACGAGGACAGGGAGUCUCCACCAUCAGGGGACGUCCCUGGGCUGAGGUCUUAGCCAGGGUGAGCAUAGGGAGAGUAUAGUUUUGCCCACUGCUCCCCUUAGCUGCCUUGUGUUCACUCACCCCUCUAUAGGUGUAUCCACGACUAGCUCCCAGGAACAUUUUGUAUCCUUGAUUAUUGUUGGAGGCAGACCUUGGAGUUUGUUUAGGACCUGACACACAAACGAAAGUUGGGAGGUGUUGGGGGCAUACACAUUACAGAGUACGAUGGGGCGACCCUGGUAAAUCCUUUCCAGAAUGACCUAGCGACCCGCGGGGUCUAUUGGGGAGGAGGAUACUGAAAUGGGACAGGAGGCUGACAACAAUAUAGCAACACCUGCCUUUCGACAACUAUGGACUGUGAAGGUGUGUGGGUAGUAGUUUUUGGCGAAGCCAAAAGAUCCUGUCUGGUCGAAGUGGGUCUCCCGAAGGAAGGCCACAUCUGCCCGUAGGUUGCGGAGCUCCCGGAGUACCAGGGAAGGGGGGGGGGCCUCCUCCAGGCUGCUCUCUGUGGGGUAGGAAGAGCAUGAGCAAGGGAUAGACACGGAGGAGGGGGUAUGGGGGAAGGGGGAGACACGAACACCACAAGACUUUACAAAAAACAAACGGUAAACUAAAUCUGUAGAAUAAACAGACUAGAAAAAAAAAGUCUGAGAGGGGACCAACCCCGUCAUACCAAUAGCCAGCAAGGCGGACUCACUGAGCCUCACUGUCUGGGGACCGAAUCAGUCACGUCCCGAGGGGGGGGGGGGCAAACCCAGUAGG
Long non-coding RNA from Bufo gargarizans (Asiatic toad), 1731 nucleotides. RefSeq lists it as uncharacterized. Lineage: Eukaryota; Metazoa; Chordata; Amphibia; Anura; Bufonidae. The record is from RefSeq and is a predicted model, not a curated record. The transcript has 2 exons.